Molecule: long non-coding RNA, 1526 nt
Organism: Corvus hawaiiensis (hawaiian crow)
Lineage: Eukaryota; Metazoa; Chordata; Aves; Passeriformes; Corvidae
Exons: 3
Source: RefSeq, a predicted model, not a curated record
GAACUGCAGUCAGCACAAUUAAUGCAAGGCAGAGCCAUUCUGAGCCACCGUCCACAGCAGACACACUUUGGGCAGUUCAGUUUCAGGCAGUUACAAAGAGCCAGCCCCAGGAUGAAUGCAGCAUGCCAGGCUGGAGAAGACAACAAUCAUGGGCCAGGAGGAUCAUUAACAACACUGCUCAGCAUGGAUCCCAGAUGGUUGAACAGCCAGAAUCCUGCUUUGGUGGAUGGUCACAACCAAAACCACACAAGAAGACCCAAUUUCUUGUGUGCUGGAAGAGGUGGUUGUUGGUGCUCUCCAGAAACCAGUACAGGAAGUACCUCUCCAGCUUUGUUCUUUUCCUACUGAGUCUCCCUUUUCCAAGGAGUGGUGUUGAUCUGAUUAUCCCAUACAUUAUAGUGAUGCAGAUUAAGACUGAGCAUACAUUUUCACAUGCCCAUGGUUUAACAUCCAGUAAAAAAAAGUGCUCAGAAGUAUUUAUUAAAAUGACUUGUACAUUUUAUAAAAUAUCUGUAUCAAUUAAUUGCUAAUAAGUAGUUCAAAGCUGACUCAGAGCUGAAUUAAUAAUGUAACACUCAUAACUUAUUCAAUUAAUUCAGUCUCUCUGCUUUUUUUUUUCUGGAAUGACUUAUCAGGAGUUAUCCUCUCUUUGUGUCCAGGCAAGGAUCUUCAAGUCUGUCAUUUUAAAUUAAAAUCCUUCCCUCUCCUGAAAUGUUAUUACUUCACAAGAUUGAUCUUAUACAAUUUAUUGCAACUAUUUCAUACUAAAAAUUCAAGUACUGUUGAGAAUUAUGAUGAGAGAAAUAUACGCACUUUUUCUUGAGAGUUGAGAGUCAUUCUUUUCAUUCUAAGGAAUGUUUAAAAAACUCUCUCAAACUCUGCAUUUUUCAGGGACAGGGAGGGCAGAGGGGACCGAUGAUUGGAAUUUGGGAACCUAUCACAGCAUUCCCUCUCUGGCACAAAGAAUUGACUGAGGCAGCAUCACAUUGGAAAAAACAAGCGACUGCAAGAUUACUGCAUUUGCAAAAAGAUGCACACAGCAUUUUAGAUACCACAGUGAUUUGUUUUUUCCCUUCUCACUGCAGGAGAAUAAUGACACAAUCAAAACCACACUGAAAUCACUGAAAGCCUUUGAGUCCUUUCAGUAGAAUUCAGAGGGCUGAGAUGCCAAUAAAUAGAAUUGCUUGGCAAAUAUUGACACUUUAAGGACAGAUACUGCAUAAAUGUUGAGUACUCUCUGUGUACCCAGCUUUACAUUGAAGAUUUAAAAAUGUUUUUGUUUCUUUAGCUGGUCCUCAGUAGAGCAUCUGUAGAGAGAAAAUAAGUUAAAAAUGGAGAAAGAUGGGGAAGUAACCAAAACAGUGACCUUUAUGUAAUGCACCCAAAGGACACCAUGACAAGAUCCACGGAUGAGCAAUCUGCGACCCCUGUGGCUCCAAUCCAGGCUGAAGCCUCACUGAUCACACAUAAAGCUGGGAGAAACAAACACAGAACUUGCUUCCAAAUGAAAACAAAAUAAAAGUAAA